Molecule: ribosomal RNA, 492 nt
Filed under: uncultured bacterium
Lineage: Bacteria
Description: partial 16S ribosomal RNA
Rfam family: Bacterial small subunit ribosomal RNA
Source: RNAcentral
AAUGAACGCUGGCGGUAGACCUAACACAUGCAAGUCGAACGUCAGCACAGUAAGAGCUUGCUCUUACGGGUGGCGAGUGGCGGACGGGUGAGGAAUACAUCGGAAUCUACUUUUUCGUGGGGGAUAACGUAGGGAAACUUACGCUAAUACCGCAUACGACCUACGGGUGAAAGCAGGGGAUCUUCGGACCUUGCGCGAUUGAAUGAGCCGAUGUCGGAUUAGCUAGUUGGCGGGGUAAAGGCCCACCAAGGCGACGAUCCGUAGCUGGUCUGAGAGGAUGAUCAGCCACACUGGAACUGAGACACGGUCCAGACUCCUACGGGAGGCAGCAGUGGGGAAUAUUGGACAAUGGGCGCAAGCCUGAUCCAGCCAUACCGCGUGGGUGAAGAAGGCCUUCGGGUUGUAAAGCCCUUUUGUUGGGAAAGAAAAGCAGCAGGUUAAUACCCCGCUGUUCUGACGGUACCCAAAGAAUAAGCACCGGCUAACUUCGUG